This 484-nucleotide ribosomal RNA is filed under the name uncultured bacterium. RNAcentral's name for it is "partial 16S ribosomal RNA". It matches the Rfam family "Bacterial small subunit ribosomal RNA", at positions 30 to 507 of the family's 1533-position model. The record is from RNAcentral.
AUUGAACGCUGGCGGCAGGCCUAACACAUGCAAGUCGAGCGGAUGAAGGGAGCUUGCUCCUGGAUUCAGCGGCGGACGGGUGAGUAAUGCCUAGGAAUCUGCCUGGUAGUGGGGGAUAACGUCCGGAAACGGGCGCUAAUACCGCAUACGUCCUGAGGGAGAAAGUGGGGGAUCUUCGGACCUCACGCUAUCAGAUGAGCCUAGGUCGGAUUAGCUAGUUGGUGGGGUAAAGGCCUACCAAGGCGACGAUCCGUAACUGGCCUGAGAGGAUGAUCAGUCACACUGGAACUGAGACACGGUCCAGACUCCUACGGGAGGCAGCAGUGGGGAAUAUUGGACAAUGGGCGAAAGCCUGAUCCAGCCAUGCCGCGUGUGUGAAGAAGGUCUUCAGAUUGUAAAGCACUUUAAGUUGGGAGGAAGGGCAGUAAGUUAAUACCUUGCUGUUUUGACGUUACCAACAGAAUAAGCACCGGCUAACUUCGUG